GCAUGGGGCCGGGUGGGGUCAUUUAGCAGGCUGAUCACAAAGCAUGUAAUUCUUUCUUCCUUCUUUAUGAUUCUAUUUCUCAUGUUGCCAUGGAAUUUAUCGGCAAUAGCUACGGGAGUAGUGGCCAGGGAUCGUCUGGCAAGGGAAAGCGUCGCCAUGGCAAUAAGUAAUGUAGUCUUGGUAUAUGUUCUUAGUAUGUUUCCUCAAACUUGGUUGUCCGCAAAGAAGUUCUCUCGCUUGUGACAACGAAGUAUGACGAAGCUCGAGUUCGUCCUCGGCCACGCCCAGGCCAAGAAAUUAUGCACCCAGGUCCGGCUGUGAAUGAUCAGCCCAGCUAAAGAGCUCGCAAGGCGAAUCUCUGGCAGGAUCUAACCACUCCGGGCUCUACGAUAGCCAAGGAGGCGAAACUCAAAACUUCGCGGCCUUCCUCACGUUGUUUCUGGCUAUGAGAAUGACUUCCUCCUGUGUAAACAACAACAAAAAAUUUACGGAAUGCUGCCAGCAUGCUUGAGGCCUUUCUUGCUUUGCUUCGUUUUCAUUUUAACGAGCAUUUUCUUUCAUCUUUCCUUCCAGGUGCAUCCAUCCCGUUUCUUGCAAAAGCGAAAGUGAACCUUACAAGCAACGGAGUGUAGAGACGAGUCUUUUGGAACUGGAUGAACCUUUCCAUCCAAGCGGUGACCCCUUGGGAGGAAUCAACGCUGACAUGAUACUGUGGAAAUCC
RNAcentral lists this long non-coding RNA (721 nucleotides) under Selaginella moellendorffii. RNAcentral's name for it is "long non-coding RNA (SMOE_LNC001639)". The record is from RNAcentral. Lineage: Eukaryota; Viridiplantae; Streptophyta; Lycopodiopsida; Selaginellales; Selaginellaceae.